Molecule: ribosomal RNA, 408 nt
Filed under: Rhagada convicta
Lineage: Eukaryota; Metazoa; Mollusca; Gastropoda; Stylommatophora; Camaenidae
Description: partial 16S ribosomal RNA
Rfam family: Bacterial large subunit ribosomal RNA
Source: RNAcentral
CAAAAACAUAACUAGAUGUAAUUAUAUUUAGUGCUUCCUGCUCAAUGAUAUAUUUAAUAGCCGCAGUACCUUGACUGUGCAAAGGUAGCAUAAUCAAUUGGCUUAUAAUUGAAGUCUAGAAUGAAAGGAUAUACGAGUAAUUACUGUAUCUAAUAUUUACUGCAAAAUUAAUUUUCAAGUGCAAAUACUUGUAAAUAAUUGUUAGACGAGAAGACCCUAGAAAUUUGUAUUAAUGUUUCGUUGGGGCAACGUAGUAGGAAAACCUACAGUUAAAGACAAGAAAAAAAUUUGAGAGAAAAAAUUACUCUAGGGAUAACAGCAUAAUUUAUAAAAGUUUGUGACCUCGAUGUUGGAUUUGGGAGCUAUAGUUCARAARACCUUUAGUACCGCUCUGUUCGAGCAUAAUAC